Molecule: ribosomal RNA, 2908 nt
Filed under: Clostridium sp. MB40-C1
Lineage: Bacteria; Bacillati; Bacillota; Clostridia; Eubacteriales; Clostridiaceae
Description: 23S ribosomal RNA
Rfam family: Bacterial large subunit ribosomal RNA
Source: RNAcentral
GAUCAAGCUACAAAGGGCGCACGGUGAAUGCCCUGGCACUAGGAGCCGAUGAAGGACGUGAUAAGCUGCGAUAAGCUUCGAGUAGGUGCAAAUAACCUGUGAUUCGAAGAUGUCCGAAUGGGGAAACCCGGCAGGCUAACGCCUGUCACUAUAUGCUGAAUACAUAGGUAUAUAGAGGUAGACUCGGGGAACUGAAACAUCUAAGUACCCGAAGGAAGAGAAAGAAAAAUCGAUUUCCUGAGUAGCGGCGAGCGAAACGGAAAGAGCCCAAACCAGGAACUUGUUCCUGGGGUUGAGGAUAGAACAUAACGCUUUGAUUUUCUUAGCCAAAUAUAACUGGAAAGUUAAGCCGCAGAAGGUAAUAGCCCUGUAGGCGAAAAGAAAAGAAAAGUAGUUCUACUCCAGAGUACCACGAGACACGAGAAACCUUGUGGGAAGCAGGGAGGACCAUCUCCCAAGGCUAAAUACUACCUAGUGACCGAUAGUGAAGCAGUACCGUGAGGGAAAGGUGAAAAGAACCCCGGAAGGGGAGUGAAAUAGAACCUGAAACCGUGUGCCUACAAACGGUCGGAGCACUUUAUAUGUGUGACGGCGUGCUUUUUGUAGAACGAGCCAGCGAGUUACGAUAUACAGCAAGGUUAAGCACUUAAGGUGUGGAGCCGAAGGGAAACCGAGUCUGAAUAGGGCAACUAGUUGUAUGUCGUAGACCCGAAACCGAGUGACCUAUCCAUGGCCAGGUUGAAGCGAAAGUAAAAUUUCGUGGAGGACCGAACCACGUUGGUGUUGAAAAACCAUGGGAUGAGCUGUGGAUAGCGGAGAAAUUCCAAUCGAACUCGGAGAUAGCUGGUUCUCCUCGAAAUAGCUUUAGGGCUAGCGUCGGGUAAUUAAGUAGUGGAGGUAGAGCACUGAAUGGGCUAGGGGCAUAGCGCUUACCGAACCCUAUCAAACUCCGAAUGCCAUAUACUUGUAUCCCGGCAGUCAGGCUGCGAGUGAUAAGAUCCGUGGCCAAAAGGGAAACAGCCCAGACCAUCAGCUAAGGUCCCAAAGUGUAAGUUAAGUGGGAAAGGAUGUGGGAUUUCUAAGACAACUAGGAUGUUGGCUUAGAAGCAGCCACUCAUUUAAAGAGUGCGUAAUAGCUCACUAGUCGAGAGAUCCUGCGCCGAAGAUGUACCGGGGCUAAAACUUACCACCGAAGCUAUGGAUGUACACUACGUGUACGUGGUAGAGGAGCUUUCUACACAGGCUGAAGCCAUACCGUAAGGAGUGGUGGACAGUGUAGAAGUGAGAAUGCUGGCAUAAGUAGCGAGAAACAGGUGAGAAUCCUGUUGGCCGAAUAUCUAAGGUUUCCUGGGGAAGGCUCGUCCUCCCAGGGUUAGUCGGGACCUAAGCCGAGGCCGAAAGGCGUAGGUGAUGGACAACUGGUUGAUAUUCCAGUACCACCAAUAUGCGUUUGACAGAUGGGAUGACGCAGGAGGAUAGGAUGUGCACACUAUUGGAUGUGUGUUCAAGCACUUAGGAGGACUAGACAGGAAAAUCCGUUUAGUCAUAACUCUGAGGUGUGAUGAGGAGCCAAUUGAGGCGAAGUAUCUGAUUCCACGCUGCCAAGAAAAGUCUCUAUGGAGUAUGUUGGUGCCCGUACCGCAAACCGACACAGGUAGAUGAGGAGAGAAUCCUAAGGCCGGCGGAAGAAUUACUGCUAAGGAACUCGGCAAAUUGACCCCGUAACUUAGGGAGAAGGGGUGCCUACGAGAGUAGGCCGCAGUGAACAGGCCCAAGCAACUGUUUAUCAAAAACACAGGUCUCUGCUAAAGCGUAAGCUGAUGUAUAGGGGCUGACGCCUGCCCGGUGCUGGAAGGUUAAGGGGAAUGGUUAGUCUUCGGGCGAAGCCAAGAACUUAAGCCCCAGUAAACGGCGGCCGUAACUAUAACGGUCCUAAGGUAGCGAAAUUCCUUGUCGGGUAAGUUCCGACCCGCACGAAUGGCGUAAUGAUUUGGGCACUGUCUCGGCAGUAAAUCCGGUGAAAUUGAAGUGUGAGUGAAGAUGCUCACUACCCGCGGUUGGACGGAAAGACCCCGUAGAGCUUUACUGUAGCUUAGCAUUGAAUUUCGGUAUUGUCUGUACAGGAUAGGUGGGAGACUGAGAAUCAGGGGCGUCAGCUUCUGAGGAGUCGACCUUGGGAUACCACCCUGACAGUAUUGGAAUUCUAACUGGCGGCCAUGAAUCUGGUCACAGGACAUUGCUAGGUGGGCAGUUUGACUGGGGCGGUCGCCUCCUAAAAGGUAACGGAGGCGCCCAAAGGUUCCCUCAGCGCGGUCGGAAAUCGCGCGAAGAGUGUAAAGGCAGAAGGGAGCCUGACUGCGAGACAUACAGGUCGAGCAGGGACGAAAGUCGGGCUUAGUGAUCCGGUGGUUCUGAAUGGAAGGGCCAUCGCUCAACGGAUAAAAGCUACCUCGGGGAUAACAGGCUGAUCUCCCCCAAGAGUCCACAUCGACGGGGAGGUUUGGCACCUCGAUGUCGGCUCGUCGCAUCCUGGGGCUGUAGUCGGUCCCAAGGGUUGGGCUGUUCGCCCAUUAAAGCGGCACGCGAGCUGGGUUCAGAACGUCGUGAGACAGUUCGGUCCCUAUCCGCCGUGGGCGCAGGAAAUUUGAGAGGAGCUGUCCUUAGUACGAGAGGACCGGGAUGGACCAACCUCUGGUGCACCAGUUGUCACGCCAGUGGCACAGCUGGGUAGCUAUGUUGGGAAGGGAUAAACGCUGAAAGCAUCUAAGCGUGAAGCCCACCUCAAGAUUAGAUUUCCCAUAGCGUAAGCUAGUAAGACCCCUGGAAGACUACCAGGUUGAUAGGUCAGAGGUGUAAGCGUGGUAACAUGUUAAGCUGACUGAUACUAAUAGGUCGAGGGCUUGAUCAA